RNAcentral lists this ribosomal RNA (1550 nucleotides) under Klebsiella sp. Lac2. RNAcentral describes it as "bacterial SSU rRNA". It matches the Rfam family "Bacterial small subunit ribosomal RNA". The record is from RNAcentral. Lineage: Bacteria; Pseudomonadati; Pseudomonadota; Gammaproteobacteria; Enterobacterales; Enterobacteriaceae.
AAAUUGAAGAGUUUGAUCAUGGCUCAGAUUGAACGCUGGCGGCAGGCCUAACACAUGCAAGUCGAACGGUAGCACAGAGAGCUUGCUCUCAGGUGACGAGUGGCGGACGGGUGAGUAAUGUCUGGGAAACUGCCUGAUGGAGGGGGAUAACUACUGGAAACGGUAGCUAAUACCGCAUAACGUCGCAAGACCAAAGUGGGGGACCUUCGGGCCUCAUGCCAUCAGAUGUGCCCAGAUGGGAUUAGCUAGUAGGUGGGGUAAUGGCUCACCUAGGCGACGAUCCCUAGCUGGUCUGAGAGGAUGACCAGCCACACUGGAACUGAGACACGGUCCAGACUCCUACGGGAGGCAGCAGUGGGGAAUAUUGCACAAUGGGCGCAAGCCUGAUGCAGCCAUGCCGCGUGUAUGAAGAAGGCCUUCGGGUUGUAAAGUACUUUCAGCGAGGAGGAAGGCGGUGAGGUUAAUAACCUCAUCGAUUGACGUUACUCGCAGAAGAAGCACCGGCUAACUCCGUGCCAGCAGCCGCGGUAAUACGGAGGGUGCAAGCGUUAAUCGGAAUUACUGGGCGUAAAGCGCACGCAGGCGGUCUGUUAAGUCAGAUGUGAAAUCCCCGGGCUCAACCUGGGAACUGCAUUUGAAACUGGCAGGCUUGAGUCUUGUAGAGGGGGGUAGAAUUCCAGGUGUAGCGGUGAAAUGCGUAGAGAUCUGGAGGAAUACCGGUGGCGAAGGCGGCCCCCUGGACAAAGACUGACGCUCAGGUGCGAAAGCGUGGGGAGCAAACAGGAUUAGAUACCCUGGUAGUCCACGCUGUAAACGAUGUCGACUUGGAGGUUGUUCCCUUGAGGAGUGGCUUCCGGAGCUAACGCGUUAAGUCGACCGCCUGGGGAGUACGGCCGCAAGGUUAAAACUCAAAUGAAUUGACGGGGGCCCGCACAAGCGGUGGAGCAUGUGGUUUAAUUCGAUGCAACGCGAAGAACCUUACCUACUCUUGACAUCCAGAGAACUUAGCAGAGAUGCUUUGGUGCCUUCGGGAACUCUGAGACAGGUGCUGCAUGGCUGUCGUCAGCUCGUGUUGUGAAAUGUUGGGUUAAGUCCCGCAACGAGCGCAACCCUUAUCCUUUGUUGCCAGCGAUUUGGUCGGGAACUCAAAGGAGACUGCCAGUGAUAAACUGGAGGAAGGUGGGGAUGACGUCAAGUCAUCAUGGCCCUUACGAGUAGGGCUACACACGUGCUACAAUGGCAUAUACAAAGAGAAGCGACCUCGCGAGAGCAAGCGGACCUCAUAAAGUAUGUCGUAGUCCGGAUUGGAGUCUGCAACUCGACUCCAUGAAGUCGGAAUCGCUAGUAAUCGUAGAUCAGAAUGCUACGGUGAAUACGUUCCCGGGCCUUGUACACACCGCCCGUCACACCAUGGGAGUGGGUUGCAAAAGAAGUAGGUAGCUUAACCUUCGGGAGGGCGCUUACCACUUUGUGAUUCAUGACUGGGGUGAAGUCGUAACAAGGUAACCGUAGGGGAACCUGCGGUUGGAUCACCUCCUUACCUGAAAGAA